GAGGACCGGAGUGGACGCAUCACUGGUGUUCGGGUUGUCAUGCCAAUGGCACUGCCCGGUAGCUAAAUGCGGAAGAGAUAAGUGCUGAAAGCAUCUAAGCACGAAACUUGCCCCGAGAUGAGUUCUCCCUGAGACUUUAAGUCUCCUGAAGGAACGUUGAAGACGACGACGUUGAUAGGCCGGGUGUGUAAGCGCAGCGAUGCGUUGAGCUAACCGGUACUAAUGAACCGUGAGGCUUAACCUUACAACGCCGAAG
This 256-nucleotide ribosomal RNA is filed under the name Klebsiella pneumoniae. RNAcentral describes it as "partial 23S ribosomal RNA". It matches the Rfam family "Bacterial large subunit ribosomal RNA", at positions 2687 to 2925 of the family's 2925-position model. RNAcentral also lists the same sequence under 1 other name. Lineage: Bacteria; Pseudomonadati; Pseudomonadota; Gammaproteobacteria; Enterobacterales; Enterobacteriaceae. The record is from RNAcentral.